AAAAGAGUGCAUUUCGGGUAUGGUGAGAAAAAAAAUCCACCACAUUAAUAGUUUGGAAAAGUGGGCUCAUCUUGGUUCGGUAGAAUUUUUGUAGAAUGUGGAGAUAACUUUUAUUUUCUUCUUCUUUGGAACUAGUUGUAUACCCCGGCUUCGCCCGGGGUCGAGACGGAAACUCAAACACAGAUUAUAUGGAAAUCACCAACCGUUGUUUUCGUUCAGGUGUGGCGGUGUUUGGCUACCGGGGUUAUAGAUCCCGAUGAGGUUGGUGUCGUGGGUGGUGGUGAAAGUCGGGCGUUGUUGGCGGUGGUAUUUGGCAACCGGUUUAAGAUCCGGAAGAGGCUGUUUAUGAGCGGCGAUCUUGGCGGUGGUAUUUGGUCAUCCUGAUGAGGGUGGUGUCCGGCGGUGUUGAUCAAACAUUAUGAUCUGUUGGUCAGCGUAAGUGUUGUUGGCGUUGGUGUAUGGCCGCCGGGAUUAUAGAUCUGGAUAAGGUUGGUUUCUGCCGGUGGCAUCCGGCGGCGACGGUUAUUUAUAUUUUUUAUUUGUAUGUUGGUGACUGUGGAGAUGCUACCUUUUUUGUGUGUAUCGAUUUUUAUGUUUUAUUGAUGAAGAGAAAAGUGAUGUCGUCGACUGUUGUUUACCGGCGACGGUUGUUCAGGUGGUGCCGUGGUGGGUUGUAUUGAUGAAGAGAAAAGUGAUGCAGAUGAAGAGAAACAGCAGAAUAGGGUUGGAGAGAGCCUGAAAGAAAGAUAAAAGAAGGAAGAAAACACCCUGAAAGUUGUAGAAGAUAAAAGGGACUAAAAUGUCAAUUAACCUUACCCAACCAAGCCAGUUGAAAGCCAACCAACCCAGUUAUGAGCCGCCACUGUAGUAGUUAAAAUUAGGAUUGUUAUAUACUAAAAAAAUUCUUUUGUUGAAACGGUUCGUUAUUUUAGUAUAUAUGACGUGAAUUGCCGACAGCUUAAUUAGAAAUAAUUUUGUAUUUAAUAUGUUUGUUUAAAAGUA
Long non-coding RNA from Erigeron canadensis, 1002 nucleotides. RefSeq lists it as uncharacterized. The transcript is spliced from 2 exons. NCBI's taxonomy places the organism in Eukaryota, Viridiplantae, Streptophyta, Magnoliopsida, Asterales, Asteraceae. The record is from RefSeq and is a predicted model, not a curated record.